AGGUGAAAUCCACUUGUGCACUUC
RNAcentral lists this non-coding RNA (24 nucleotides) under Arabidopsis thaliana (thale cress). The record is from RNAcentral. Lineage: Eukaryota; Viridiplantae; Streptophyta; Magnoliopsida; Brassicales; Brassicaceae.